AGAGUGAACGCUGGCGGUAGGCCUAACACAUGCAAGUCGAACGGCAGCACGGUAAGAGCUUGCUCUUAUGGGUGGCGAGUGGCGGACGGGUGAGGAAUACAUCGGAAUCUACCUUUUGGUGGGGGAUAACGUAGGGAAACUUACGCUAAUACCGCAUACGCCCUUCGGGGGAAAGCCGGGGACCAGCAAUGGCCUGGCGCUGAUAGAUGAGCCGAUGUCGGAUUAGCUAGUUGGUGAGGUAAUGGCUCACCAAGGCGACGAUCCGUAGCUGGUCUGAGAGGAUGAUCAGCCACACUGGAACUGAGACACGGUCCAGACUCCUACGGGAGGCAGCAGUGGGGAAUAGUUGGACAAUGGGCGCAAGCCUGAUCCAGCCAUACCGCGUGGUGAAGAAGGUCCUUCGGGUUGUAAAGUCCCGUUUUAGUAGGGAAAAGUAAAAGCGAAUUACGGUUAAUACCCGGGUUGUUACCGUGGUAACCGGUAACCCAAAGAACUAA
RNAcentral lists this ribosomal RNA (497 nucleotides) under uncultured soil bacterium. Its description in RNAcentral is "bacterial SSU rRNA". It matches the Rfam family "Bacterial small subunit ribosomal RNA", at positions 26 to 487 of the family's 1533-position model. The record is from RNAcentral.